Molecule: long non-coding RNA, 210 nt
Filed under: Panax ginseng (ginseng)
Lineage: Eukaryota; Viridiplantae; Streptophyta; Magnoliopsida; Apiales; Araliaceae
Description: long non-coding RNA (PGIN_LNC009820)
Source: RNAcentral
UUAGUCAUGAUAUUCUUUAUUGGGCUAUUUGAGCUCACCCUUUUCCUUUUGUUCCAUUGUUCUUCUCAGAAAAUGAUAGUAUAUCUGGGACUAGCCGAGAAAUGGAAUGAUGGUUCAAGACUGUAGAAGUAUCUCAAUACAUUAUAAAAUAGUGUGGUAAUAAUUGUAUUGAGAAUUUAAGUUGAGUGUGGAUAUUGUCGUAUCAGAUAC